Molecule: ribosomal RNA, 113 nt
Organism: Bison bison bison
Lineage: Eukaryota; Metazoa; Chordata; Mammalia; Artiodactyla; Bovidae
Source: Ensembl
AGUCUAGAUCAUACCACUUGAACGCGCCCGAUCUCAUCUGAUCUCAGAAGCUAAGCAGGAUCGAGCCUGGUUAGUACUUGGACGGGAGAAAUUUCAACUGCAGGUUAAGAAUA